CUUUCUCUCUCCUCGAUCAGAUUUCUCGAAACAAUUUUUCGUUCUUCAAAUUACUCCGUAAUCCAUUAAUCUUUCUUCGUUUAAUCAAUUAAUCCUAAUCGUUCUUCAAAUUCAUUGAUUAAUUGUUCAGUGAUUUAUUUGAUUCACGUCGAUUCUUGAUUUCUUUAUUUUUUGGAGAUUCAAUCGAUUACGGAGGACUUUUGCAGUGCUCUGAUGUGCGGACUAAUGGUUUGGUCUUGAUUGAGUCGGAUGUUCUGCACGGUUCAGCAGGCUGAUAGGGCUAUAUAAGAUGGCUGCGCCGCGGUUUGGCAAUCCAAAUUUUAUGGUGUGUUCAUAUAAUUUGUACUUCACAGUGAAAAAAUUUACUUACAGUAUAUGUGCUAUUGGUGAGUUUUAUGAUAUGUGGAUGAGAAAGUGGUAGUAUUAGUUUGUAUGGUCGGUGUGUUGAGGAGAAUGGAGUGUUUUCCUUAGUUUUGUGAAUUGGUCUUGUUAGUCGACCUUUGCCAUGUCGGGUGCGCUUGCAUGGCAGGUCAUCAAUGUUAAUAAAAAGAUCUUUUUUGUGGUUUUGUUGGGAGAUGGCAUGGGGUUUUUCCCGGCUCUCCCAACCGUGUGCGUGUUGUGUCUGUUUUUUUUGUAUUUUUCUCCCUUUCCCUGCACCCUUAUGCGCUUGAAUCAUCAAACUCCACGCUAUUGCCACCAGUAUAGAGCAAAUUCACUGUCAAAACGAUUUCUUUGUAGAAAAUUUAUGCCAAAUCCAAUUUUGCCAAGGUAUAUUUAUCAAAAUCAUUUUUAAGUUCCCUAUUUUAUUACUCAGUACAAUUUAUAUUGCAGUGUUAUCUGCAAAGGUUAAGGUGGUGUCGUUAUUCUUCAUUUGUCCCUUGACAUCAAGGAGUUAUAUAAUUGUUGUCCCUGCUCUUUGAAUCUUUCUAAAUUAGGAUUCCUACAAUUGUCUUGAAUUGUACAGUGCAUAUAUUGAGAAAUUCUGCUUCUUUAGAACUUAAUUUAUAUUCAGAAAGUCAAGCAUACAAAACUUACUUCAUGAACAUUCUUAUGUGGAAAGCUACAUACAGAUCUCUAUCUUAUUGCAUAUAUGUAUAUAAGAUGUGAUUACUCUGAUUAAGCAACUUCAACGCAAUUUGUAGAGGGUAUUGCUAAAUAGAAUAUGUGAUUACUACUUUGUUAGCUGUACAGAUAGGUCAUAUAUGCCGCUGGCCACUGGAUUGUAUGAUGUACUGAUCCUUGGUUAUAUGUACUACACUAACCAUCUCUAUGUGUACGCUGCACCUAUUCAUUAUAUGUGUACGUUGUUACUCCAUACGGAUUAUAUUUUUUGAUUGGAUAUCCUUUGGGGUUAUUUGGUAAUGUGUCCCAACCUUGGAAAUAUUUAGUUUCAUAGCUUCAUCCAUCAUAAUCCUUGAAGUAGAUUCUAAGUUUAUUUGUUAUGCAUUCAGUUCAGGCAACUUGAUGCUCAAAUUAAUUUAAACAGUCUAUUACCGAGCAAUAUUUGAAUUAUUUUUUAUUUCUGAUCUUUGUUGCCUGUGUUUUGCAUUUUACAUCACUGUCAACUGAGAACAAGGGUGUUGAGUCUUGCAUGUGUUUGCAAUUAGUGGUGUAAUAGAAAUUGUAUAAUUCUCUGUAGUCUGUAUACACUUUUGUAUUAGAAUUUUUUCUACAGGUUUUAUACAUACUAGGUGCCAGACUGUUUGAUUCUCUAAUGUUCUGUGGCCAUUGGCCAAGUUGCUGUUCUGAUUCAAAGAAUCUCAUCGGCACAAGUUUACAACUGUAGCCAUUCGUUAGUUAUGCAUUAGAUCGUUCGCCUACCAAUGAGGCACUAUCAAAACUCUCAUUAGAAAGCUCUGAUAGUUUGGUGACAACACUUAUUUACAGUCGAAUGUAAACUGAAAAUGUUCUCUUAACGCCAAAGCAUUCAAGAAUAAUUGAAGUAUUGAUUGUUGAUGCUUAAUGUGUUUUGCUAAUGUCACAACUUCAACGAUUCAACGCUUAUUAGCUGUUGUCAAAGUGCACCUAUCAAUAAUAUUCCUUGAUUGAUUUUGUUUAUUGUGA
Chenopodium quinoa (quinoa) is the source of this 2064-nucleotide long non-coding RNA. RefSeq lists it as uncharacterized. Lineage: Eukaryota; Viridiplantae; Streptophyta; Magnoliopsida; Caryophyllales; Amaranthaceae. The record is from RefSeq and is a predicted model, not a curated record. The transcript has 2 exons.